Molecule: ribosomal RNA, 683 nt
Filed under: Amanita pseudoinculta
Lineage: Eukaryota; Fungi; Basidiomycota; Agaricomycetes; Agaricales; Amanitaceae
Description: eukaryotic LSU rRNA
Rfam family: 5.8S ribosomal RNA (bases 243-396)
Source: RNAcentral
UCGCCCUUCUUGGUCAUUUAGAGGAAGUAAAAGUCGUAACAAGGUUUCCGUAGGUGAACCUGCGGAAGGAUCAUUAAUGAAGCAACUAGGGUUGUUGCUGGCCUCUUGGGGCACUGUGCACGCCUUUUUGUUCUUCUUACAUGUGCACUGUUGUAGGCAUGAGCUUUUUUGGGUUGUGUCUAUGAUUUUUUUUACAUACACUUGUCUCUGAAUGUAUAAUUGGAUAACAAUAAAAUAAAUACAACUUUCAACAACGGAUCUCUUGGCUCUCGCAUCGAUGAAGAACGCAGCGAAAUGCGAUAAGUAAUGUGAAUUGCAGAAUUCAGUGAAUCAUCGAAUCUUUGAACGCAACUUGCGCUCCUUGGUAUUCCGAGGAGCAUGCCUGUUUGAGUGUCAUUAUAUUCUCUCGAAACCACGUUUGUAGCGUGGUUUUGGAUUGUGGGAGCCUGCUGGCGUUGUGUAAGCCAGCUCUCCUGAAAAGAAUUAGCUGGAGUCUAUGUCCAAUGCUUGAAUCUACCUCUGGUGUGAUAAAUUGUCCAAGCCAUUGGUGGGUCAGGAAUGGAUUUUUCAACCUCUGCUUUGUAAAUAUGGGUCUGGCUUAGGCUGGAUACAGUUGUUGAACACUUUGACAUCAAAUCAGGUAGGACUACCGCUGAACUUAAGCAUAUCAAUAAGCGGAGGAA